RNAcentral lists this ribosomal RNA (1287 nucleotides) under metagenome. RNAcentral describes it as "bacterial SSU rRNA". It matches the Rfam family "Bacterial small subunit ribosomal RNA", at positions 191 to 1498 of the family's 1533-position model. The record is from RNAcentral.
GGGUAAACAUAUAAGGGAAAUGUCUUUUCGCUAGGGGAUGAGACUAUAUGAUAUCAGGUAGUUGGUAGGGUAAGAGCCUACCAAGCCAAUGACAUCUAGCUGGUCUGAGAGGAUGAUCAGUCACACUGGAACUGAGACACGGUCCAGACUCCUACGGGAGGCAGCAGUGGGGAAUAUUGCACAAUGGGGGAAACCCUGAUGCAGCAACGCCGCGUGGAGGAAGACGCAUUUCGGUGUGUAAACUCCUUUUAUAUAGGAAGAUAAUGACGGUACUAUAUGAAUAAGCACCGGCUAACUCCGUGCCAGCAGCCGCGGUAAUACGGAGGGUGCAAGCGUUACUCGGAAUCACUGGGCGUAAAGCGCAUGCAGGCGGGUUAAUAAGUUGGAAGUGAAAUCCUAUGGCUCAACCAUAGAACUGCUUCCAAAACUGUUAGUCUAGAGUCUGGGAGGGGAAGAUGGAAUUAGUUGUGUAGGGGUAAAAUCCGUAGAGAUAACUAGGAAUACCAAAAGCGAAGGCGAUCUUCUGGAACAGUACUGACGCUGAGAUGCGAAAGCGUGGGGAGCAAACAGGAUUAGAUACCCUGGUAGUCCACGCAGUAAACGAUGAAUGUUAGUCGUCGGGUUGCAAGUCAAUUCGGUGAUGCAGUUAACACAUUAAACAUUCCGCCUGGGGAGUACGGUCGCAAGAUUAAAACUCAAAGGAAUAGACGGGGACCCGCACAAGUGGUGGAGCAUGUGGUUUAAUUCGAAAAUACGCGAAGAAUCUUACCUAGCCUUGACAUUGAUAGAAUCUUCCAGAGAUGGAGGAGUGCCUUUCGGGGAACUUGAAAACAGGUGCUGCACGGCUGUCGUCAGCUCGUGUCGUGAGAUGUUGGGUUAAGUCCCGCAACGAGCGCAACCCUCGUCACUAGUUACUAACAGUUAGGCUGAGGACUCUAGUGAGACUGCCUUCGUAAGGAGGAGGAAGGUGAGGACGACGUCAAGUCAUCAUGGCCCUUACGGCUAGGGCGACACACGUGCUACAAUGGUUAUGACAAUGAGAGGCGAUACCGCGAGGUGGAGCAAAUCUAUAAACCUAAUCUCAGUUCGGAUUGUAGUCUGCAACUCGACUACAUGAAGCUGGAAUCACUAGUAAUCGUAGAUCAGCCAUGCUACGGUGAAUACGUUCCCGGGUCUUGUACUCACCGCCCGUCACACCAUGGGAGUUGAUUUCACCCGAAGCGGGGAAGCUAAACUGGCUACCCUCCACGGUGGAAUUAGCAACUGGGGUGAAGUCGUAACAAGGUA